GCCGGGCAUGGUGGCGGGUGCCUGUAAUCCCAGCUACUUGGGAGACUGAGGCAGAAGAAUUGCUUGAACCUGGGAAGUGGAGGUUGCAGUGAGCCGAUAUCACGCCACUGCACUCCAGCCUGGGUGACAGAGCAAGACUCUGUCUCAA
Molecule: unclassified non-coding RNA, 148 nt
Organism: Macaca mulatta (Rhesus monkey)
Lineage: Eukaryota; Metazoa; Chordata; Mammalia; Primates; Cercopithecidae
Rfam family: Metazoan signal recognition particle RNA
About the family: The signal recognition particle (SRP) is a universally conserved ribonucleoprotein.
Source: Ensembl